GGGUCAGUAGGUUGGUCGUGCCACCGGUACGUACUGGGCUCACUGAUUCCUCCUUCCUGAAGAACUGUAAUGCCAUUAAUUUGGUGUUGCGGGGAAACAGGACUGUUACUUUGAAAAAAUUAGAGUGUUUAAAGCAAGCUAACGCUUGAAUACAUUAGCAUGGAAUAAUGAAAUAGGACGAUCGAUCCUAUUUUGUUGGUUUCUAGGAUUGACGUA
RNAcentral lists this ribosomal RNA (216 nucleotides) under Glomeromycotina sp. RNAcentral describes it as "partial small subunit ribosomal RNA". The stretch from base 40 to 216 matches the Rfam family "Eukaryotic small subunit ribosomal RNA", at positions 686 to 864 of the family's 1831-position model. The record is from RNAcentral. Lineage: Eukaryota; Fungi; Glomeromycota.